GCAAGUAAUUCCCUUCCAUGAUUGUCCACAAGGAUCAUCGCCAUUUGCGUUCCACUGGGUUAACUGAGAGGGCGAGUUUAAACUGGUGUACAAAACCCUUAAAGCAGAGGCAUCUGUUGGAUCUGUGGUUCCUUGAAUGCAGCUAGGCUUCCACCCUAGAAUGCAGAGAAUGAUGAGAGAUAUCAGCUCCCUCCACCUCCAAUCCAUCCUCUUCCCAGCCCGGAACAGGAAUGAGAGCCUCAAAUCAACCACCCUCUUUUCCU
RNAcentral lists this unclassified non-coding RNA (263 nucleotides) under Hevea brasiliensis (rubber tree). The record is from RNAcentral. Lineage: Eukaryota; Viridiplantae; Streptophyta; Magnoliopsida; Malpighiales; Euphorbiaceae.